This 766-nucleotide ribosomal RNA is filed under the name uncultured Bacillota bacterium. Its description in RNAcentral is "bacterial SSU rRNA". It matches the Rfam family "Bacterial small subunit ribosomal RNA", at positions 62 to 837 of the family's 1533-position model. Lineage: Bacteria; Bacillati; Bacillota. The record is from RNAcentral.
UCGAACGGACUUAACCGAUAGUUUACUAUUGGAGCGGUUAGUGGCGGACUGGUGAGUAACACGUAAGCAACCUGCCUAUCAGAGGGGAACAACAGUUAGAAAUGACUGCUAAUACCGCAUAUGCCUAAGUAUCACAUGAUACAAUAGGGAAAGGAGCAAUCCGCUGAUAGAUGGGCUUGCGUCUGAUUAGAUAGUUGGUGGGGCAACGGCCUACCAAGUCAACGAUCAGUAGCCGAACUGAGAGGUUGAACGGCCACAUUGGGACUGAGAUACGGCCCAGACUCCUACGGGAGGCAGCAGUCGGGAAUAUUGCGCAAUGGAGGAAACUCUGACGCAGUGACGCCGCGUGCAGGAAGAAGGCUUUCGGAUUGUAAACUGCUUUAGACAGGGAAGGAAAAAGACAGUACCUGUAGAAUAAGCUCCGGCUAACUACGUGCCAGCAGCCGCGGUAAUACGUAGGGAGCAAGCGUUAUCCGGAUUUAUUGGGUGUAAAGGGAGCGCAGGCGGGACUGCAAGUUGGAUGUGAAAUACCGCAGCUUAACUGCGGAGCUGCAUCCAAAACUGUAGUUCUUGAGUGAAGUAGAGGUGGGCGGAAUUCCGAGUGUAGCGGUGAAAUGCGUAGAUAUUCGGAGGAACACCGGUGGCGAAGGCGGCCUACUGGGCUUUUACUGACGCUGAGGCUCGAAAGUGUGGGGAGCAAACAGGAUUAGAUACCGUGGUAGUUCACACUGUAAACGAUGAUUUCUAGGCGGGAAGAGUAUAGACC